CCAGCUCAGUCAGGAGAGCAUGAAACUCUUAAUUUCAGGGUCCUGGGUUUGAGUCCUACACAGGGGGCUGGA
Molecule: non-coding RNA, 72 nt
Organism: Podarcis lilfordi (Lilford's wall lizard)
Lineage: Eukaryota; Metazoa; Chordata; Lepidosauria; Squamata; Lacertidae
Source: the annotation of a GenBank genome assembly